AUUUUGUUCGUGAUCGUAGGUCAUUUCGAGGCCAUUUGAGUUUGACGCUUCCUCCUGGUGCUCGAGCUUGGAGAUCCAAACUUCUCGUUACUUUGAGAAAGUCGAUUUCUCCUCGGCCUGUGUUGAGUUCCCUCUUAGCGACUGAGGGUUUUUGAUAGGAGUAUCCUUCCUCAUUGAGACGAGGUCCCUUGUAUCUUUGAUGUAGUUUGCUUUUCACUUAUCGCUAGUGUAGUUCGUCGCCUUCCCUUUUUAUCUCCCUUUUUCUUUUUAUUUGGGUGAUGGUUUUUCCUUUAGGUGAGGGUUUUCCCUCUGCUCUUAGCGGGGUUGUGGGGAUGUAGAGGAGCCACUGAGGAGGCUUUUCUCCUCAUCCGAUCUUGAUCGAUCAGGUCUUUGUUUGUGUUAGGGCGAGGUUCUCCUC
Molecule: long non-coding RNA, 418 nt
Filed under: Elaeis guineensis (African oil palm)
Lineage: Eukaryota; Viridiplantae; Streptophyta; Magnoliopsida; Arecales; Arecaceae
Description: long non-coding RNA (EGUI_LNC050178)
Source: RNAcentral